AGAAGUGAACAAACCGAGACUUGGGGAAAGAGAAAAUGGCGACGGCAUCGGAAAAUUCAAGAGGAAUCGGCGGAGGUGAUCGAACGGCGAAAGCAGUCGUCGCCGAUCAGAUCACACAAGCCGUUAAUUCUACUGCUAAUCUUCUCCAACUGAUGCGUCAGUCGUCUUCUUCUCAGGCGCAGUUGGCAAAGCUCCCGAAGAAUCUUUUGGCGAAAGCUUCUCUGACUAAGGCCACUGGACAAGUAUGCGUUGGCGCAGCUUCCUCAAGUGAUUUCAUCUCUGGACGCUCAUAUAGAAAGUGGAUUGCACAGCGGUGUUCAUUUGAACACAGUAACUCAGUUACUUGAAAACAUGGAAAGCACACAGCUUCGUGCUCUUCGACAAUCUAAUAUUUCCCCUGUGACAGAUGACAAGUAGUGAUCUCCAAGAUAGGCACAUACGGCGUCUCCUACUUCGUUGUUCAUUCAUCUUCAAACAAUCACACUUCCCUACUUCGUUUCCACAACAGAGAGAAAUUUGUGGUGGUGACUUAGUUUUCGAUUUUCCUGGCGGUUCUGAUUCCAGAAUAGCUCUGGUUGUUAGCUAGAUUGCGACUUUUGAUAUCAGCUUUAAUCAGAUUCUCUUAUAACUCAGACUGAAAUCUCCCAUGUUCUUUGUUAUAGUAUAUAAUUGGGGUGUGUUAACCCACUUUUAGCUAAGUGUUUUUUUUUUGUAUUAUUAAAUUAGAAAAUUUGUUUUUAUUUAUUUAUUUAUAUUUCCAUUUUUGAAGUA
RNA transcript from Camelina sativa (false flax), 771 nucleotides. It is a transcript of the gene named tobamovirus multiplication protein 2B, with no coding region annotated. The record is from RefSeq and is a predicted model, not a curated record. NCBI's taxonomy places the organism in Eukaryota, Viridiplantae, Streptophyta, Magnoliopsida, Brassicales, Brassicaceae.